This 488-nucleotide ribosomal RNA is filed under the name uncultured bacterium. RNAcentral's name for it is "bacterial SSU rRNA". It matches the Rfam family "Bacterial small subunit ribosomal RNA", at positions 31 to 518 of the family's 1533-position model. The record is from RNAcentral.
GAACGCUGGCGGCGUGCUUAACACAUGCAAGUCGAACGGAGUUUUUAAACGGAAGUUUUCGGAUGGAAGUUUAAGAACUUAGUGGCGGACGGGUGAGUAACGCGUGGGUAACCUGCCUCAUACAGGGGGAUAACAGUUAGAAAUGACUGCUAACACCGCAUAAUAUAGCGAAACCGCAUGAUUUUUGCUAUCAAAUAUUUAUAGGUAUGAGAUGGGCCCGCGUCUGAUUAGCUAGUUGGUGGGGUAAAAGCCUACCAAGGCGACGAUCAGUAGCCGGCUUGAGAGAGUGACCGGCCACAUUGGGACUGAGACACGGCCCAAACUCCUACGGGAGGCAGCAGUGGGGAAUAUUGGACAAUGGGGGAAACCCUGAUCCAGCGACGCCCGCGUGAGUGAAGAAGUAUUUCGGUAUGUAAAGCUCUAUCAGCAGGGAAGAUAAUGACAGUACCUGACUAAGAAGCCCCGGCUAACUACGUGCCAGCAGCAGC